This 354-nucleotide RNase P RNA is filed under the name Fusobacteriaceae bacterium. RNAcentral's name for it is "RNase P RNA component class A". It matches the Rfam family "Bacterial RNase P class A". From Rfam's summary of the family: Ribonuclease P (RNase P) is a ubiquitous endoribonuclease, found in archaea, bacteria and eukarya as well as chloroplasts and mitochondria. Its best characterised activity is the generation of mature 5'-ends of tRNAs by cleaving the 5'-leader elements of precursor-tRNAs. Lineage: Bacteria; Fusobacteriati; Fusobacteriota; Fusobacteriia; Fusobacteriales; Fusobacteriaceae. The record is from RNAcentral.
UAGGUGUUAGAGUCAGUUGCUGCUGGAGAGAUCCAGGGGAGGAACGUCCGGGCUCCACAGGGCAAUGAAGGUAGCUAACGGCUGCUGAGGGAAACCUUAAGGAAAGUGCCACAGAAAAUAGACCGCCUAUAAAUUUGUUUUAUAGGUAAGGGUGAAAAGGUGGGGUAAGAGCCCACCAGUAUGAUAGGAAACUAUUGUAGCUUGGUAAACCCCUUCUGGAGCAAGACCGAAGAAAGAUCAUUAUGAGACUGCCCGUCUCGAUUUUUAGGUGUGUCGCUUGAGCCUAUAAGCAAUUAUAGGCCUAGAUAAAUGAUUGACCAACGACAAAACCCGGCGUAUCCUAACACCUAUUUA